This 448-nucleotide ribosomal RNA is filed under the name uncultured bacterium. RNAcentral's name for it is "bacterial SSU rRNA". It matches the Rfam family "Bacterial small subunit ribosomal RNA", at positions 355 to 825 of the family's 1533-position model. The record is from RNAcentral.
UGAGGAAUAUUGCGCAAUGGGCGCAAGCCUGAUCCAGCCAUGCCGCGUGAGUGACGAAGGCCUUAGGGUUGUAAAGCUCUUUUUGGCGGGGAAGAUAAUGACGGUACCCGCAGAAUAAGCUCCGGCUAACUUCGUGCCAGCAGCCGCGGUAAUACGAAGGGAGCUAGCGUUGUUCGGAAUCACUGGGCGUAAAGCGCACGUAGGUGGAUAGUUAAGUGAGGGGUGAAAGCCCGAGGCUCAACCUCGGAAUUGCCUCUCAUACUGGCUGUCUCGAGUCCGAGAGAGGUGGGUGGAAUUCCUAGUGUAGAGGUGAAAUUCGUAGAUAUUAGGAAGAACACCGGUGGCGAAGGCGGCCCACUGGCUCGGUACUGACACUGAGGUGCGAAAGCGUGGGGAGCAAACAGGAUUAGAUACCCCUGUAGUCCCUGAGCGGGCUGGCAAGGCGCAU